This is a long non-coding RNA of Micropterus salmoides (largemouth bass), 506 nucleotides long. RefSeq lists it as uncharacterized. NCBI's taxonomy places the organism in Eukaryota, Metazoa, Chordata, Actinopteri, Centrarchiformes, Centrarchidae. The transcript is spliced from 3 exons. The record is from RefSeq and is a predicted model, not a curated record.
AAGUGACAAAAAAAAAAGCCAACACCUCGGACUGCUUCCUAAGACGCAGUGUCCGUGCAGCAGGAAUAGCGGCCUCUCGCGGCUGCUUCCUGGAUGUGCAUGCGAGGGCGUGAGGAGCACAACCCUCCUCAGCGGCUGACGUCACGCGGCAGCGGCUGUCAGAGGGGGCGUGGCCUUGUUCUGCUGCAGCAGAGAAAUAUGACAUGGGGAUGAGCGAAAGAGAGAGGGAGAGAGUGAGACAGCCUGAUAGGAAUGAACGGUUCGUCAGAGGUCUGGACUGGAAACCUUAGGAUGGGGAGUAAUGACUGAAAACAGAACGAAUCGACAAGGACAUGCACGGUAAAGUGGAGAUCGCAACUGCUGCCAUACCGGAGUGACCCUGCUCGCACUGCAAGAUGUGGAGGAGGAGCACAACAAUCUAAUGUAUAUGCUCUGGGCAACGUGACUGGAGACUUGGCUCUUUGCAUCAGGAGAGUGCCUUUUUUGAAACUAUGCUGCCUGUUACA